UCAAAACAUAGCUUUGGUAAACAUCUAAACCUUAGUCAGUUGCCAACAAAAAGCAGGUGAGUGGAAACUGCUGGAAACAUCUUGUGUAAUGGAAACUUCCUCUGUCAUGAACUGGUGCGAAUUGGAGUACUUCUUCAAAACUCCCUUUUCUUCUUUGCCAACCAGUAGUAGCUGAAUUUCCACCAGUACCCUGUCGUCACCAGUAGUGGUUGUUGUUAAUCCUGGACCGGAUCGACCGAUCCAGUAUGGAGAUCAUGUUCUUGACUCGCAUGGUAGAUGUGGCAAAAGUUUUACUCCGCAUGCCCUACCUCUACAUUUAUCCGGGCUUGGCACUGACACAAGGAAUCAGGCACAGCUGUAGCUCUGCUGGGAAACUAUGUGGGAUUUCUGAUUUCUUUAAGAUGCGACUUUUUAAGUAAUUUCUGACCGCGUGACAAGAAGGAAGAGGAGACGAACUGAUCUGCUGCUUAGAUCAGAACAACACAGCUACAACCUGGAGCUGUCUCCAACUCUCAUUUCCCGGGCGGUGCCUGGAACCACUGUCACCAUCUUCCCAAAAGGGAGCAUAAAUAUAAAUGGAGCUAAAAGCAUCGAUGAGGUCCAUAAAGGAUUUGAUGCCAUCUACGAGAUCCUGAUUUGCUUCAGGAAGCAGUGAGGAGUGAAGCUGCUCGUAAUUUAAUACUGUCCCUGAAGCAUAAACAAUUGUAAAUAAACCAGUACAUCUAAUUUACUGGUUCAUUAAUGAAAGUGCAGCUGUAGUCUUUCAGACGGGUUAUUGCUGUUCUUUAGUGUACCACUAGAUGUCGUCAUGGCACAGUUUUUAGAGAUUGCAGAAAUUGGUGGAUUUUCUUUGGAUUAGAGUUUUAAGUGCAGCUCUGAUAUGCUGAUGAUUAGUCAUUUUUUUACCUGCAUCCUGGACAUCUUUAGCUAUCUUUGUCUCAGCCUGAUCCCCAAGGGUAGUCUGUCAGCUGACUGACAAAACAACAAAACAUGGAUAGAGCUGGAAAUCCAAAGAUUUUCGCAUCAAUAAAAACUGAAACAUGUCGGAUAUUUGCAGAGCAAGAAGCAUGUGGUUAAGGACAGAAAGCAAUCAAUGAACAAUUAUUGAGCAAAGUAGUGGGGGAAAUAAUAAAUGUUAAACCUAUAUGUUUACACUGAAUAAGCAUACAAGUUUAAAGGGUUUGUUAUGUUUUUGGUGUUUUUAUUCUGUGUAUCUGAUUAAUUUUCUUCUCUGUCCUAAAAAAGGUUUCUUACAAACAAGCAUGUAUGAAAGAGAAAAAAAUAUGGAGAUGAGAAAACAAAAUGGCAAAUAAUAAAAAAAUCGCUUAAACAUUACAAAGGUUUAUAAAUCAUACUGAUUUUUUGACAAUAAAAAAUGAAAAGAGUUAAAA
Long non-coding RNA from Girardinichthys multiradiatus, 1391 nucleotides. RefSeq lists it as uncharacterized. Lineage: Eukaryota; Metazoa; Chordata; Actinopteri; Cyprinodontiformes; Goodeidae. The transcript has 5 exons. The record is from RefSeq and is a predicted model, not a curated record.